CGGGAAUCGAACUCACAACCUCACAAUUGCCAGGCUGGUGCUGUGCUAUUGAGCUAUAUCCCCAGCCCUUGGUGACAUUACAAUGACAGCACAUUCCUUAGAAUACGUCUCUGUUGCCCAACAAUGCAUUUCUGGAUUUACUUCUAUCAGUAUGGACUCUGUGGGUUAUUUUUCCUUCUUGUUUUAGGGUUCAAAUUGUCCUUUAUCCUGCCAGUGGGAGCCCCUCUGUAUCCCAUCUGGGUAGUAGGUGUGCUUCUUGCUACUACUGAAGCUUCAUUGCUUAUAGGGAUGGACAGGGGACCCUGUGCUCCACAGGCCACAGAACCUGGUUCAGCAUGGGUCGUGACCAAAGCCAGAACAACUGAUGUAAGCCAUGGGACUUUUCUGCUAGGGGUGGCUUUGCGAGUGAGAGGACAUUAAAAAGAAACAAAAACCCCGA
Molecule: long non-coding RNA, 439 nt
Filed under: Chinchilla lanigera (long-tailed chinchilla)
Lineage: Eukaryota; Metazoa; Chordata; Mammalia; Rodentia; Chinchillidae
Description: lncRNA (ENSCLAG00000028562.1)
Source: RNAcentral